Molecule: long non-coding RNA, 1539 nt
Organism: Homo sapiens (human)
Lineage: Eukaryota; Metazoa; Chordata; Mammalia; Primates; Hominidae
Gene: TCP10L3
Product: t-complex 10 like 3 (pseudogene)
Source: Ensembl
CUGCUCUCUGGUCUCUGGAGAUGAGGCGGGAGGACUUGGGGACAGCUGUGGGGACACGGCCCAGAUGCUCUGGUCCCAGCAGAAGUGACUGGCGGGGACCAGGCAUUGGAACCUGCUUUUGGAAAAAUUUCACAUCUGUCAGCUGAUGAAGACACAACGCCCAAAUACGCUGGCCGCAAGAGUCAGAGUGCCACUCUCCUGGGACAAAGAUGGUCAUCUAACCACUUAGCUCCUCCAAAGCCAAUGAGUUUAAAGACAGAAAGAAUUAACUCGGGGAAAACACCACCACAGGAAGAUAGAGAGAAAAGUCCUCCCGGGAGACGUCAAGACAGAAGUCCAGCACCCACUGGAAGGCCGACUCCCGGUGCAGAAAGACGGGGGGUGUCUGAAGACGGAAAGAUUAUGCAUCCAUCUUCCCGAAGUCCGCAAAACUCCGGUGGCAGAAAAUCACCAGUGCAGGCUUCCCAGGCCACCACGCUGCAGGAGCAGACGGCAGCAGCCAGAGGAGCUGACAGAAGCUCAUCAGUCUUAGGGAGUUCUGAAGGCGGAUUUCUCAGCCGCGUUCAAGCUGACGAGUUCGCCAGUUCUGCCCCAGACAGUGCAGAGCGGCAGGAAAUUUGGGCUGUGAACUUACGUAUGAUGUAAAACUAGGCACCUGGCGGGGAAGUCUCAGAACACAGGUCCCGCUUGUUUUCUGUUCUCCUGCGAAAAGCCCACAUUCUGUUCUGCCCUCUCCGACGUCUUCAGUGGGGGGACGAGUGGGAAUAUUUUUCUUGGGAUUUUAUUUUGUUUGGGGAUCCAGCUAAUGAGUUCACCUGGAAGCCUCCGGGCUAAUGAUCUACAUUGAGAAGCAGUGCAGCAGCCAUGGCAGGUGGUGUCUCUGUGUGGUGUUUGUAUCAGGUGUUAAAUGUGGCAGUUGUCAUUGUGGCCACCCUGACUCCAGACCAAACAUACAAGUGGGAGAUAAGCACUUUAAUAAAACACAAAACAUGGUCCAAAGUCCCGGUGCUGACUGUCCGGGGCUCAGCCGCGCCCACUGACUUAGAGGCAGAGGCUGCAAAAUGCCAGGGCAAGGUGCAUUUCUCCCACCUCAUACUGCAGUGUUCAUGGAGACCACGGGAGAUUAGGAUUAUGCUCUUUCUGCAGAAUCUUCCUGUAAACCCACCAUCUUCCCUGGAAAUAGCACAGGCCAUGGACACUAAGAUGAAAAAGGAGGAAGUACAGGAAGAAAAACGACAUCCAAAGGGCAAGGCAGAUGACUGCCGGCGGUCCGGUUUCCCGAGUGAAUUUCCAGGAGCUCUGCACGCCGCUCCCUCCAGACAGGACAUGGGGCCCUGACCUGGAGGCCAGGCGUUUCUAGCAUUGUUGACUGCCAGUUUAUUCCCAGUAAAUAAAGCAAUACGCUUUUCAGGAGGAAGAUUUGUUUUAAAUACUUAAAAAAAAACCCAAAACUAUAGCCUCAAAUAUCUUCCAGCCACCACAUUUUAGCCCUUGAGGAGAGCUCAGUUCCGGAAGGACGCGUCAAGGUGGCGGUGGUCG